Molecule: ribosomal RNA, 279 nt
Filed under: uncultured bacterium
Lineage: Bacteria
Description: partial 16S ribosomal RNA
Rfam family: Bacterial small subunit ribosomal RNA
Source: RNAcentral
UGCCAGCCGCCGCGGUAAUACGAAGGGGGCUAGCGUUGUUCGGAAUUAUUGGGCGUAAAGCGCGUGUAGGCGGUUCGUUAAGUCUGAUGUGAAAGCCCGGGGCUCAACCCCGGAAGUGCAUUGGAAACUGGCGAACUUGAGUACGGGAGAGGAAAGUGGAAUUUCCUGUGUAGCGGUGAAAUGCGUAGAUAUAGGAAGGAACAUCAGUGGCGAAGGCGACUUGCUGGACUGAUACUGACGCUGAGGAGCGAAAGCGUGGGGAGCGAACGGGAUUAGAUA